RNAcentral lists this ribosomal RNA (473 nucleotides) under uncultured organism. RNAcentral describes it as "partial 16S ribosomal RNA". It matches the Rfam family "Bacterial small subunit ribosomal RNA", at positions 332 to 797 of the family's 1533-position model. The record is from RNAcentral.
UACACUCCUACGGGAGACAGCAGUGGGGAAUUUUGGACAAUGGGCGAAAGCCUGAUCCAGCAAUGCCGCGUGAGUGAAGAAGGCCUUCGGGUUGUAAAGCUCUUUUGUCAGGGAAGAAACGGUGAAAGCUAAUAUCUUUUGCUAAUGACGGUACCUGAAGAAUAAGCACCGGCUAACUACGUGCCAGCAGCCGCGGUAAUACGUAGGGUGCAAGCGUUAAUCGGAAUUACUGGGCGUAAAGCGUGCGCAGGCGGUUUUGUAAGUCUGAUGUGAAAUCCCCGGGCUCAACCUGGGAAUUGCAUUGGAGACUGCAAGGCUAGAAUCUGGCAGAGGGGGGUAGAAUUCCACGUGCAGCAGUGAAAUGCGUAGAUAUGUGGAGGAACACCGAUGGCGAAGGCAGCCCCCUGGGUCAAGAUUGACGCUCAUGCACGAAAGCGUGGGGAGCAAACAGGAUUAGAUACCCGGGUAGUCCC